GGUAGCGUGGCCGAGCGGUCUAAGGCGCUGAUUUAAGGCACCAGUCUCGGAAGAGGCGUGGGUUCGAAUCCCACCGCUGCCA
Molecule: transfer RNA, 82 nt
Filed under: Nematostella vectensis (starlet sea anemone)
Lineage: Eukaryota; Metazoa; Cnidaria; Anthozoa; Actiniaria; Edwardsiidae
Rfam family: tRNA
About the family: Transfer RNA (tRNA) molecules are approximately 80 nucleotides in length.
Source: Rfam by way of RNAcentral